UUCGCAAUGCCCGAAAGGGUGACGAAGCGACGCCGCGUGCGGGAAGAAGGCCUUCGGGUUGUAAACCGCUGUCGGGAGUUAGGAAAUGCAAGGAUGUUAAUAGCAUUCUUGCUUGACUAAGGCUCCGGAGGAAGCCACGGCUAACUCUGUGCCAGCAGCCGCGGUAAUACAGAGGCGGCAAGCGUUGUUCGGAAUUAUUGGGCGUAAAGAGCACGUAGGCGGCUCUGUAAGUCAGCUGUGAAAGCCUUCUGCUUAACGGAAGAACAGCAUCUGAUACUGCAAGGCUAGAGUGCGGAAGGGGAGAGUGGAACUUCUGGUGGAGCGGUGAAAUGCGUAGAUAUCAGAAGGAACACCGGCGGCGAAGGCGACUCUCUGGUCCAUAACUGACGCUGAGUGUGCGAAGGCUAGGGGAGCAAACGGGAUUAGAUACCCCGGUAGUCCUAGCCGUAAACGAUGGGCACUAAGUAGAGGGGUUUU
This 477-nucleotide ribosomal RNA is filed under the name uncultured anaerobic ammonium-oxidizing bacterium. RNAcentral describes it as "bacterial SSU rRNA". It matches the Rfam family "Bacterial small subunit ribosomal RNA", at positions 365 to 832 of the family's 1533-position model. The record is from RNAcentral.